CACGAACGCUGGCGGCGUGCUUAACACAUGCAAGUCGAACGGAAAGGCCCUGCUUUUGUGGGGUGCUCGAGUGGCGAAAGGGUGAGUAACACGUGAGUAACCUGCCCUUGACUUUGGGAUAACUUCAGGAAACUGGGGCUAAUACCGGAUAGGAGCUCCUGCUGCAUGGUGGGGGUUGGAAAGUUUCGGCGGUUGGGGAUGGACUCGCGGCUUAUCAGCUUGUUGGUGGGGUAGUGGCUUACCAAGGCUUUGACGGGUAGCCGGCCUGAGAGGGUGACCGGCCACAUUGGGACUGAGAUACGGCCCAGACUCCUACGGGAGGCAGCAGUGGGGAAUAUUGCACAAUGGGCGGAAGCCUGAUGCAGCAACGCCGCGUGCGGGAUGACGGCCUUCGGGUUGUAAACCGCUUUCGCCUGUGACGAAGCGUGAGUGACGGUAAUGGGUAAAGAAGCACCGGCUAACUACGUG
RNAcentral lists this ribosomal RNA (468 nucleotides) under uncultured bacterium. Its description in RNAcentral is "partial 16S ribosomal RNA". It matches the Rfam family "Bacterial small subunit ribosomal RNA", at positions 29 to 507 of the family's 1533-position model. The record is from RNAcentral.